Molecule: long non-coding RNA, 933 nt
Organism: Peromyscus maniculatus bairdii (prairie deer mouse)
Lineage: Eukaryota; Metazoa; Chordata; Mammalia; Rodentia; Cricetidae
Source: RefSeq, a predicted model, not a curated record
GUGACACACGUCCUCCAACAAGGCCACACCUUCUGAUAGUGCCACGCCCUCUGGGGGGCCAUUUUCUUUCACACCACCUCUAGCAAUGGGAGCUAGUGAAGGUCUUAGCGGGACCGUCACACUACCAUUGUAUUUAGUUAUUGUGUUUUUUCUUGUUUUUGUUUUGUUUUUUGAGACAGGGGCUCUCGUAGCCAAAGUUGACCUUAAACUCACUGUGUAUGAGGAUGACCUUGAAUUCAUGAUCUUGUCUCUACAUCCCAAGUGUUGGGAUUCAAGGCAAGAACUGCAAUGCCUAACUCAGGCGUUUUAUUUGAUUGAUUAAUUGUUAUGCUAUUACUAUUAUUAUUAUCAUUGAACAAAUAAUAACACAGUGGUCCCCUCUCCCUCUUUAUACCUUGGCUAUAGGUAAAUCUACACCUGCAAGCCUUUUCUUCCGAGAGAAAUUUGUACCCUGACCUACUCAACAUGGCAGCGCUCUUCUCCAACGUCACUGAGAAUGGUGGUGGCGAUGAUCACAGUGUUUAGAGGCGGGGGCUGAUAUGGAUGACAGGUUCAGCUGGGAAUGUGCUGUCCUCUUCAGCGGCUCACUCCUAUCGGUCCAGAAUCUGGUUCAAGAGGCACAUUGAGAUGCAGGAGCUGCAGUGAGAAGCCCAGUCAGCCCUUACUGAGAAACUUGAGCUGGGGUUCCUUUUGCUUCACAUACACUGAGAGCUGCAGAGCGGAAGAAAGACGCCCAGGCGUCGUGCUGGCCAGACGGGGAAAAGCAGGUCAUCUGUGAGCUCGGAGAAGGAGCCAGAGAAGCCAGUGCGCCCCAGGAGAAAGGUGUCCUCCAGCCUGCAGCUACCACCCCGAGAGGCACGAGAAAGGUGUCCUUUGGCCUGCAGCUACCACCCCGAGAGGCAUGCAUUUGAACCUCCACAGAUCUGACUCCUG